UAAGGAAUAUUGGUCAAUGGAGGCAACUCUGAACCAGCCAUGCCGCGUGUAGGAAGACGGCCCUCUGGGUUGUAAACUGCUUUUAUUCGGGAAUAAACCUGCUUACGUGUAAGUAGCUGAAUGUACCGAAGGAAUACGGAUCGGCUAACUCCGUGACAGCAGCCGCGGUAAUACGGAGGAUCCAAGCGUUAUACGGAUUUAUUGGGUUUAAAGGGUGCGUAGGCGGCUUAUUAAGUCAGGGGUGAAAGACGGUGGCUCAACCAUCGCAGUGCCCUUGAUACUGAUGAGCUUGGAUGGACUAGCGGUAGGCGGAAUGUGACAAGUAGCGGUUAAAUGCAUAGAUAUGUCACAGAACACCGAUUGCGAAGGCAGCUUACUAUGGUUUAAUUGCCGCUGAGGCACGAAAGCGUGGGGAUCAAACA
Molecule: ribosomal RNA, 422 nt
Filed under: uncultured bacterium
Lineage: Bacteria
Description: bacterial SSU rRNA
Rfam family: Bacterial small subunit ribosomal RNA
Source: RNAcentral